Molecule: ribosomal RNA, 253 nt
Filed under: uncultured bacterium
Lineage: Bacteria
Description: partial 16S ribosomal RNA
Rfam family: Bacterial small subunit ribosomal RNA
Source: RNAcentral
UACGUAGGUGGCAAGCGUUGUCCGGAUUUACUGGGCGUAAAGAGCGCGCAGGCGGUCGUUCAAGUCGCGUGUGAAAGCCCCCGGCUCAACUGGGGAGGGUCACGCGAUACUGAUCGACUCGAAGGCAGGAGAGGGUAGUGGAAUUCCCGGUGUAGUGGUGAAAUGCGUAGAUAUCAGGAGGAACACCGGUGGCGAAGGCGGCUACCUGGACAGAAACUGACGCUGAGGCGCGAAAGCUAGGGGAGCAAACAGG